AUGAAAGAAACAAACGUAUUCAAUAAGCAAAAGGAGAGAGAGGGAUUCGAACCCUCGAUAGUUCCUAGAACUAUACCGGUUUUCAAGACCGGAGCUAUCAACCACUCACCAUCUCUCCACAGCCUAAUCCUUAUUUUACUCCUACAAAUAGAACAUAGCCAUAUAAACAAUAAAAAGACCAGCCUCAUGAAAAUCUUAUAUUCCCUGAGGAGGUUCUACCACGUGGAAACACUCUUUAAUGGAACUUUCGUUUUAGCUGGUCGUGACCAAGAAACCACUGGCUUUGCUUGGUGGGCUGGGAAUGCCAGACUUAUGAAUUUGUCCGGUAAACUACUUGGAGCUCAUGUAGCCCAUGAUGGAUUAAUCGUAUUCUGGGCCGGAGCAAUGAACCUAUUUGAAGUGGCCCAUUUCAUACCAGAAAAGCCCAUGUAUGAACAAGGGUUGAUUUUACUUCCACACUUAGCUACUCUAGGUUGGGAGUAG
This 483-nucleotide ribosomal RNA is filed under the name Triticum aestivum (bread wheat). RNAcentral describes it as "partial small subunit ribosomal RNA". The record is from RNAcentral. Lineage: Eukaryota; Viridiplantae; Streptophyta; Magnoliopsida; Poales; Poaceae.